UACGUAGGGGGCUAGCGUUGUCCGGAAUCAUUGGGCGUAAAGAGCGCGUAGGCGGCUAGAUAAGUCCGGUGUGAAAGUCACAGGCUCAACCUGUGAAUGCCGCUGGAAACUGUCUGGCUAGAGUCCGGAAGGGGCGAGUGGAAUUCCUGGUGUAGCGGUGAAAUGCGCAGAUAUCAGGAGGAACACCAAUGGCGAAGGCAGCUCGCUGGGACGGUACUGACGCUGAGGCGCGAAAGCGAGGGGAGCAAACAGG
RNAcentral lists this ribosomal RNA (253 nucleotides) under uncultured bacterium. Its description in RNAcentral is "partial 16S ribosomal RNA". It matches the Rfam family "Bacterial small subunit ribosomal RNA", at positions 524 to 776 of the family's 1533-position model. The record is from RNAcentral.